RNAcentral lists this ribosomal RNA (714 nucleotides) under Streptomyces xanthochromogenes. Its description in RNAcentral is "bacterial SSU rRNA". It matches the Rfam family "Bacterial small subunit ribosomal RNA", at positions 69 to 800 of the family's 1533-position model. Lineage: Bacteria; Bacillati; Actinomycetota; Actinomycetes; Kitasatosporales; Streptomycetaceae. The record is from RNAcentral.
AUGAAGCCCUUCGGGGUGGAUUAGUGGCGAACGGGUGAGUAACACGUGGGCAAUCUGCCCUUCACUCUGGGACAAGCCCUGGAAACGGGGUCUAAUACCGGAUAACACUCUCCAAAGCAUUUUGGGGGGUUAAAAGCUCCGGCGGUGAAGGAUGAGCCCGCGGCCUAUCAGCUUGUUGGUGGGGUAAUGGCCUACCAAGGCGACGACGGGUAGCCGGCCUGAGAGGGCGACCGGCCACACUGGGACUGAGACACGGCCCAGACUCCUACGGGAGGCAGCAGUGGGGAAUAUUGCACAAUGGGCGAAAGCCUGAUGCAGCGACGCCGCGUGAGGGAUGACGGCCUUCGGGUUGUAAACCUCUUUCAGCAGGGAAGAAGCGAAAGUGACGGUACCUGCAGAAGAAGCGCCGGCUAACUACGUGCCAGCAGCCGCGGUAAUACGUAGGGCGCAAGCGUUGUCCGGAAUUAUUGGGCGUAAAGAGCUCGUAGGCGGCUUGUCACGUCGGAUGUGAAAGCCCGGGGCUUAACCCCGGGUCUGCAUUCGAUACGGGCUAGCUAGAGUGUGGUAGGGGAGAUCGGAAUUCCUGGUGUAGCGGUGAAAUGCGCAGAUAUCAGGAGGAACACCGGUGGCGAAGGCGGAUCUCUGGGCCAUUACUGACGCUGAGGAGCGAAAGCGUGGGGAGCGAACAGGAUUAGAUACCCUGGUAGUCCACGC